GAAUCUUAGAUCUAAGAAUUUCUAGCCAAAAUCCUAAACCAAAAUCUUUGUGAUUUCGAACCGUAGUAUCCUUAACCAUGUGUUCUCUUAUAAGAACACAUGGUUAGGGAUGUUACACGUCAAAAAUCUGAAAGGAUUCAGACGUUAGUGACUGGCCGGAGUUCCUCGUGCUUCUGUGAGUUUUUCAUGUUUCUUUUCACUCGCAUGGUUGAAGUCUUAGUUACAGUUUUUGUUUCAUUAAUUGUUCUGUUAAAUUUAGGAUUUAUUUUGUGUAUUAGUAUAAUUUUGUCAAUUGUUGUUAGUUCUGAGUUGAUAUUUGUUUGAAUGAUUGUGAGUUUAUGGGUUAAGAAUUAUUUUAAAUUCAUUUAAAGUUGAUCAUGUUAGCUUAAGCUUUGCUUUGAUCGAUCCUGGUUUCUGGGUUCCCUUAGUUUGACUGAGUUGGUAUAAUUGAACAUUUGGGUUGGUCAGUUUGAUUAGUUGAUUUCUGAGUACUAAUUAAUCAAUUUCAGUUAGUUUUAGAUUAACUUAGGGGAUUGGUUAUAGUUGUUAAGGAUGAGGGUAGGUUCAGUAACUUUGAGGAGCCUUCAGGGGUAGUCUGGGUAUGGAAAAGGGUAGUUCUGAUAGGAAUAGUAAUAUCAAGUUAUAUGGAAGGGCAGUAUAUGUAUUGUAUGGGUAGAGGAAUACCCUAGGGCCUUCUAGAAUGGGAUUUUAGUGCACAUUUCAGCACAAUAGGGGUGCUUACUUGUUUAGCAAGUCAAUAAUAGGGGGACUAAACUGAAAAUAGGGAAGGGACUAAUUAGAAAAUCAGAAUCUGAUCUAUUCUCUUUUGGUUGCCUAUAAAAGGGCAUGAAAUGCCUUGGGAAAGGGGGUUGUUCUUCUUCCUUCAGCUCUAAGCUCGAAAUCCCCACAAAAGGCUCUCCUCCCUGCUUUCAAUUCCAGUUAGUAGUUCCAUUCCAGUAUUCAAAAAAUAAAAACAUCAAAAAAUGAACAAAUCAAAAACAAUCUUACAGUUUCAUUAUUAGUUUUGGAUUUCAGUUGGGUUUUGGGUUUAGCAGUAUUGCAGAGGUGUUUGGGUUCAGCUGUGAGGGCUAGGAGUGUAUUUGAAGUAUGUGUUGAAUUGAUCUGUGGAGGCUGCCUGUAUUUCUGGUUUUCAAAAGCAGUUCUUGGCCUGUCCUAUGGUAUAUAUUGUUGAGUUUGCUGCUGUUGCUGUUCAAAGUAGCUGACUCCUUUCCUUCUCAUAUUUUCAUUUAUCCAGGUACACAAUUGUACCCCUGAUGAAUGUGAGCUCAAAUGGGCAGAAAUGAAUUAUUUGAAGAAUGAAUGUACAUGCAG
This 1332-nucleotide long non-coding RNA is filed under the name Nicotiana tabacum (common tobacco). Its description in RNAcentral is "long non-coding RNA (NTAB_LNC011428)". The record is from RNAcentral. Lineage: Eukaryota; Viridiplantae; Streptophyta; Magnoliopsida; Solanales; Solanaceae.